AUUGAACGCUGGCGGCAUGCUUUACACAUGCAAGUCGAACGGCAACGAGGAGAGGCUUGCUUCUCUGUCGGCGAGUGGCGAACGGGUGAGUAUAGCAUCGGAACGUGCCAAGUAGUGGGGGAUAACCAAACGAAAGUUUGGCUAAUACCGCGUAAGCUCCAAGGAGGAAAGUAGGGGACCUAAAUAAGGCCUUACGCUAUUUGAUCGGCCGAUGUCGGAUUAGCUAGUUGGUGGGGUAAUGGCUCACCAAGGCAAUGAUCCGUAGCGGGUCUGAGAGGACGAUCCGCCACACUGGGACUGAGACACGGCCCAGACUCCUACGGGAGGCAGCAGUGGGGAAUUUUGGACAAUGGGGGAAACCCUGAUCCAGCCAUGCCGCGUGUAUGAAGAAGGCCUUAGGGUUGUAAAGUACUUUUGUUAGGGAAGAAAAGCUAGUUUUUAAUAAAAAUUAGUGAUGACGGUACCUAAAGAAUAAGCACCGGCUAACUACGUG
RNAcentral lists this ribosomal RNA (493 nucleotides) under uncultured bacterium. RNAcentral describes it as "partial 16S ribosomal RNA". It matches the Rfam family "Bacterial small subunit ribosomal RNA", at positions 30 to 507 of the family's 1533-position model. The record is from RNAcentral.